This 69-nucleotide microRNA precursor is filed under the name Pan troglodytes (chimpanzee). RNAcentral's name for it is "miRNA (ENSPTRG00000047462.1)". Lineage: Eukaryota; Metazoa; Chordata; Mammalia; Primates; Hominidae. The record is from RNAcentral.
UGGUGCAAAAGUAAUUGCGGUUUUUGCCAUGGAAAGUAAUGGCAAGAACUGAAAUUUCUUUUGCACCAA